AAUGCGUAGAGAUCAGGAAGAACACCGGUGGCGAAAGCGCUCUGCUGGGCUACAACUGACACUGAGGGACGAAAGCUAGGGGAGCGAAUGGGAUUAGAUACCCCAGUAGUCCUAGCGGUAAACGAUGGAAACUAGGUGUGGCCUGUAUCGACCCGGGCCGUGCCGGAGCUAACGCGUUAAGUUUCCCGCCUGGGGAGUACGCACGCAAGUGUGAAACUCAAAGGAAUUGACGGGGGCCCGCACAAGCGGUGGAGUAUGUGGUUUAAUUCGAUGCAACGCGAAGAACCUUACCAGGACUUGACAUUUCGGGAAUCCCUUUGAAAGGAGGGAGUGCC
RNAcentral lists this ribosomal RNA (335 nucleotides) under Planktothrix pseudagardhii No1020. Its description in RNAcentral is "bacterial SSU rRNA". It matches the Rfam family "Bacterial small subunit ribosomal RNA", at positions 685 to 1018 of the family's 1533-position model. Lineage: Bacteria; Bacillati; Cyanobacteriota; Cyanophyceae; Oscillatoriales; Microcoleaceae. The record is from RNAcentral.